Molecule: ribosomal RNA, 447 nt
Filed under: uncultured Archaeospora
Lineage: Eukaryota; Fungi; Glomeromycota; Glomeromycetes; Archaeosporales; Archaeosporaceae
Description: SSU rRNA
Rfam family: Eukaryotic small subunit ribosomal RNA
Source: RNAcentral
AGCAGCCGCGGUAAUUCCAGCUCCAAUAGCGUAUAUUAAAGUUGUUGCAGUUAAAAAGCUCGUAGUUGAAUUUUAGGCCUGACCGGGCGGUCCGUCUUUGGCGAGUACUGUCCUGUGUCGGGUCCACCUUCUGGUGAACCAGUAUGUCCUUUAUUGGGUGUGCCGGGGAGCCAGGACCAUUACCUUGAAAAAAUUAGAGUGUUUAAAGCAGGCAUUUGCUUGAAUAGAUUAGCAUGGGAUAAUAGAAUAGGACGUUGUGGUUCUAUUUUGUGGUUUCUAGGACCACCGUAAUGAUUAAUAGGGAUAGUUGGGGGCAUUAGUAUUCAAUUGUCAGAGGUGAAAUUCUUGGAUUUAUUGAAGACUAACUAUUGCGAAAGCAAUUUGCCAAGGGAUAGUUUUCAUUAAUCAAGAACGAAAGUUAGGGGAUCGAAGACGAUCAGAUACCGU